Molecule: ribosomal RNA, 301 nt
Filed under: uncultured bacterium
Lineage: Bacteria
Description: partial 16S ribosomal RNA
Rfam family: Bacterial small subunit ribosomal RNA
Source: RNAcentral
CAGUAGCGCGGUAAUACGUAGGUCCCGAGCGUUGUCCGGAUUUAUUGGGCGUAAAGCGAGCGCAGGCGGUUAGAUAAGUCUGAAGUUAAAGGCUGUGGCUUAACCAUAGUACGCUUUGGAAACUGUUUAACUUGAGUGCAAGAGGGGAGAGUGGAAUUCCAUGUGUAGCGGUGAAAUGCGUAGAUAUAUGGAGGAACACCGGUGGCGAAAGCGGCUCUCUGGCUUGUAACUGACGCUGAGGCUCGAAAGCGUGGGGAGCAAACAGGAUUAGAUACCCGAGUAGUCCCUGUCUCUUAUACAC